This 27-nucleotide non-coding RNA is filed under the name Rattus norvegicus (Norway rat). The record is from RNAcentral. Lineage: Eukaryota; Metazoa; Chordata; Mammalia; Rodentia; Muridae.
UGGUGCCUGGCUAUUGCCUUUGGAUGU